This 466-nucleotide ribosomal RNA is filed under the name uncultured bacterium. RNAcentral describes it as "partial 16S ribosomal RNA". It matches the Rfam family "Bacterial small subunit ribosomal RNA", at positions 28 to 507 of the family's 1533-position model. The record is from RNAcentral.
GACGAACGCUGGCGGCGUGCUUAACACAUGCAAGUCGAACGGAAAGGCCCUGCUUUCGUGGUGCGCGAGUGGCGAACGCGUGUGUGACACGUGGGUGUUCCGCCCCGCUCUCCUGGAUAUGCUUUCGAAAAUGGGGCUAAUAUACGGUAGGAGCGCUCUUGAUGCUGGGGGUUGGAUGGUUUUUUUGGUGUAGGAUGAGCUCGCGGGCUAUUAGCUUGUUUGUGGGGUAAUGGCCUACCAAGGCGGCGACGGGUAGGUGGCCUGUGAGGGUGUACGGCCACAUUGUGGGUGAGAGACGGGGCAGACUCUUACGGGAGGCAGCAGUGGGGAAUAUUGCACAAUGGGGGCAGGCCUGAGGCAGCGACGCCGCGUGGGGGGGGAAGGCGUUCGGGGUGUAAACUCCUUUCGCUAGGGACGAGGCUCGUUUGUGACGGUACCUAGAUAAGAAGCACCGGCUAACUACGUG